CCUACGGGACGCAGCAGUGAGGAAUAUUGGUCAAGGGGCUUACGCCUGAACCAGCCAAGUCGCGUGAGGGAAGACUGCCCUAUGGGUUGUAAACCUCUUUUGUCAGGGAGCAAUUGGCGCUACGUGUAGCGUUAUCGAGAGUACCUGAAGAAAAAGCAUCGGCUAACUACGUGCCAGCAGCCGCGGUAAUACGUAGGGGGCGAGCGUUGUCCGGAAUCACUGGGCGUAAAGGGCGCGUAGGCGGUAAUAUAAGUCAGAUGUGAAAGGUGGGGGCUCAACCCCUAGAGUGCAACUGAUACUGUAUA
Molecule: ribosomal RNA, 305 nt
Filed under: uncultured bacterium
Lineage: Bacteria
Description: bacterial SSU rRNA
Rfam family: Bacterial small subunit ribosomal RNA
Source: RNAcentral